AUUGAACGCUGGCGGCAUGCCUUACACAUGCAAGUCGAACGGCAGCACGGACUUCGGUCUGGUGGCGAGUGGCGAACGGGUGAGUAAUGUAUCGGAACGUACCUUUCAGUGGGGGAUAACGUAGCGAAAGUUACGCUAAUACCGCAUAUUCUGUGAGCAGGAAAGCAGGGGAUCGCAAGACCUUGCGCUGAUUGAGCGGCCGAUAUCAGAUUAGCUAGUUGGUGGGGUAAAGGCCUACCAAGGCUACGAUCUGUAGCGGGUCUGAGAGGAUGAUCCGCCACACUGGAACUGAGACACGGUCCAGACUCCUACGGGAGGCAGCAGUGGGGAAUUUUGGACAAUGGGGGCAACCCUGAUCCAGCCAUGCCGCGUGAGUGAAGAAGGCCUCGGGUUGGUAAAGGUACUCUUUCGGUCCGGGAACGGAAAGUACGCAUAGGCGUAAUACCCUACGUGUGGAGUGACGGUACCGGAAGUAAGAAGACACCGGCGUAACUACGUAGCCAGCAGCCG
RNAcentral lists this ribosomal RNA (510 nucleotides) under uncultured bacterium. RNAcentral's name for it is "bacterial SSU rRNA". It matches the Rfam family "Bacterial small subunit ribosomal RNA", at positions 30 to 517 of the family's 1533-position model. The record is from RNAcentral.